GCGUCGAUAGUCUAGUGGUAGGACCUUAGCCUUCCAAGCUAAUGACCUGGGUUCGAAGAACUUAACGGCUAACAUCAAUUGACUUAAGCCGUUUGUUUGAGUCUCCCAGUCGACGCA
This 117-nucleotide transfer RNA is filed under the name Nanobdellota archaeon. RNAcentral's name for it is "tRNA-Gly". It matches the Rfam family "tRNA". From Rfam's summary of the family: Transfer RNA (tRNA) molecules are approximately 80 nucleotides in length. Their secondary structure includes four short double-helical elements and three loops (D, anti-codon, and T loops). Lineage: Archaea; Nanobdellati; Nanobdellota. The record is from RNAcentral.